This 500-nucleotide ribosomal RNA is filed under the name uncultured bacterium. RNAcentral describes it as "partial 16S ribosomal RNA". It matches the Rfam family "Bacterial small subunit ribosomal RNA", at positions 30 to 523 of the family's 1533-position model. The record is from RNAcentral.
AUUGAACGCUGGCGGCAUGCUUUACACAUGCAAGUCGAACGGCAGCACGGACUUCGGUCUGGUGGCGAGUGGCGAACGGGUGAGUAAUACAUCGGAACGUACCCAGUAAUGGGGGAUAACUCGUCGAAAGAUUAGCUAAUACCGCAUACGCCCUACGGGGGAAAGAGGGGGAUCGCAAGACCUCUUGUUAUUGGAGCGGCCGAUUGCUGAUUAGCUAGUUGGUGUGGGAAGAGCCUACCAAGGCGACGAUCAGUAGAGGGUCUUAGAGGACGAUCCGCCACACUUGAACUAAGACACGGUGCAGAAUCCUACGGGAGGCAGCAGUGGGGAAUCUUGGGCAAUGGGCGAAAGCCUGAUCCAGCAAUGCCGCGUGCGUGAAGAAGGCCUUCGGGUUGUAAAGCGCUUUUGUCUGGAAGCAAAUCCUUGUGGCUAAUACCCACCGGGGAUGAGAGUACCAGAAGAAUAAGGACCGGCUAACUACGUGCCAGCCGCCGCAGUAA